CCUACGGGAGGCAGCAGGCUAGAAAUUUGGGCAAUGGGGGAAACCCUGACCCAGUGACGCCGCGUGCAGGAAGGAGCCCUUCGGGGUGUAAACUGCUGUCGUGUAGGGAGAAGGGUACUAAGGUGAACAAUCUUAGUACUUGACGGUACUACAGGAGGAAGCCCAGGCUAACCUCGUGCCAGCAGCCGCGGUAAU
RNAcentral lists this ribosomal RNA (195 nucleotides) under uncultured bacterium. Its description in RNAcentral is "partial 16S ribosomal RNA". It matches the Rfam family "Bacterial small subunit ribosomal RNA", at positions 338 to 524 of the family's 1533-position model. The record is from RNAcentral.